Oncorhynchus kisutch (coho salmon) is the source of this 46-nucleotide microRNA precursor. NCBI's taxonomy places the organism in Eukaryota, Metazoa, Chordata, Actinopteri, Salmoniformes, Salmonidae. The record is from Ensembl.
UUGUACUACUGUGAAAUCAGAUGAGCAGUGCAAUAUUAAAAGGGCA